GAACAUGGGGGGACCAUCCUCCAAGGCUAAAUACUCGUGAUCGACCGAUAGUGAACAAGUACCGUGAGGGAAAGGCGAAAAGAACCCCGGGAGGGGAGUGAAAUAGAACCUGAAACCGCAUGCAUACAAACAGUGGGAGCCUCCUUGUGGGGUGACUGCGUACCUUUUGUAUAAUGGGUCAGCGACUUACGUUAUGUUGCGAGCUUAACCGAAUAGGGGAGGCGUAGCGAAAAGCGAGUCUGAUAAGGGCGUUGAGUAGCAUGGCGUAGACCCGAAACCGGAUGAUCUAUCCAUGGCCAGGAUGAAGGUGCCGUAACAGGUACUGGAGGUCCGAACCCACUAGUGUUGAAAAACUAGGGGAUGAGCUGUGGAUAGGGGUGAAAGGCUAAACAAAUCCGGAAAUAGCUGGUUCUCCCCGAAAACUAUUAGGUAGUGCGUCAUGUAUCACUUGCGGGGGUAAAGCACUGUUAUGGCUAGGGGGUCAUCGCGACUUACCAAACCAUGGCAAACUCUG
RNAcentral lists this ribosomal RNA (514 nucleotides) under uncultured bacterium. RNAcentral describes it as "bacterial LSU rRNA". It matches the Rfam family "Bacterial large subunit ribosomal RNA", at positions 440 to 958 of the family's 2925-position model. The record is from RNAcentral.